This 254-nucleotide ribosomal RNA is filed under the name uncultured bacterium. RNAcentral's name for it is "partial 16S ribosomal RNA". It matches the Rfam family "Bacterial small subunit ribosomal RNA", at positions 524 to 776 of the family's 1533-position model. The record is from RNAcentral.
UACGUAGGGUGCAAGCGUUAAUCGGAAUUACUGGGCGUAAAGCGUGCGCAGGCGGUUCGUUGUGUCGGUGGUGAAAGCCCCGGGCUUAACCUGGGAAUGGCCAUGGAAACUGGCGAACUGGAGUGUGGCAGAGGGGGGUGGAAUUCCGCGUGUAGCAGUGAAAUGCGUAGAGAUGCGGAGGAACACCGAUGGCGAAGGCAGCCCCCCUGGGCUAGCACUGACGCUCAUGCACGAAAGCGUGGGGAGCAAACAGG